CUUCGUUCUCGGGGCGGGGUGUAAUUCCCCACCGGCGGUAAAGACUUUACAUAAGUUAAAUUCUAAGCCCGCGAGCGCCUUCAAGAAACUUUUCUUUUAGGGUCAGCAGAUCUGGUGUAAUUCCAGAGCCGACGGUUAUAGUCCGGAUGAUAGAGAGCGCGU
RNAcentral lists this non-coding RNA (162 nucleotides) under Marinomonas sp. MWYL1. RNAcentral describes it as "FMN riboswitch aptamer (RFN element)". It matches the Rfam family "FMN riboswitch aptamer (RFN element)". Rfam says of the family: The RFN element is a highly conserved domain that is found frequently in the 5'-untranslated regions of prokaryotic mRNAs that encode for flavin mononucleotide (FMN) biosynthesis and transport proteins. This element is a metabolite-dependent riboswitch that directly binds FMN in the absence of proteins. The record is from Rfam by way of RNAcentral. Lineage: Bacteria; Pseudomonadati; Pseudomonadota; Gammaproteobacteria; Oceanospirillales; Oceanospirillaceae. RNAcentral also lists the same sequence under 1 other name.